GACGAACGCUGGCGGCGUGCUUAACACAUGCAAGUCGAACGGAAAGGCCCUGCUUUUGUGGGGUGCUCGAGUGGCGAACGGGUGAGUAACACGUGAGUAACCUGCCCUUGACUUUGGGAUAACUUCAGGAAACUGGGGCUAAUACCGGAUAGGAGCUCCUGCUGCAUGGUGGGGGUUGGAAAGUUUCGGCGGUUGGGGAUGGACUCGCGGCUUAUCAGCUUGUUGGUGGGGUAGUGGCUUACCAAGGCUUUGACGGGUAGCCGGCCUGAGAGGGUGACCGGCCACAUUGGGACUGAGGUACGGCCCAGACGCCAACGGGAGGCAGCGGUGGGGAAUAUUGCACAAUGGGCGGAAGCCUGAUGCGGCAACGCCGCGUGCGGGAUGACGGCCUUCGGGUUGUAAACCGCUUUCGCCUGUGACGAAGCGUGAGUGACGGUAAUGGGUAAAGAAGCACCGGCUAACUACGUG
Molecule: ribosomal RNA, 468 nt
Filed under: uncultured bacterium
Lineage: Bacteria
Description: partial 16S ribosomal RNA
Rfam family: Bacterial small subunit ribosomal RNA
Source: RNAcentral